GGUCUGUCAGCCAGACUCCUGGUGGAAUAACACUGUGGUCUGUCAGCCAGGCUCCUGGUGGAAUAACACUGUGGUCUGAUAGGCAGGAUCCUACUGGAAUAACACUGUGGUCUGUCAGCCAGGAUCCUACUGGAAUAACACUGUGGUCUGUCAGCCAGACUCAUGGUGGAAUAACACUGUGGUCUGUCAGCCAGGCUCCUACUGGAAUAACACUGUGGUCUGUCAGCCAGGCUCCAGGUGGAAUAACACUGUGGUCUGUCAGCCAGACUCCUGGUGGAAUAACACUGUGGUCUGUCAGCCAGACUCAUGGUGGAAUAACACUGUGGUCUGUCAGCCAGGAUCCUGGUGGAAUAACACUGGGGUCUGUCAGCCAGGCUCCUGGUGGAAUAACACUGUGGUCUGUCAGCCAGGCUCCUGGUGGAAUAACACUGGGGUCUGUCAGCCAUGAUCCUGGUGGAAUAACACUGUGGUCUGUCAGCCAGGCUCCUGGUGGAAUAACACUGUGGUCUGUCAGCCAGGCUCCAGGUGGAAUAACACUGUGGUCUGUCAGCCAGACUCCUGGUGGAAUAACACUGUGGUCUGUCAUCCAGACUCCUGGUGGAAUAACACUGUGGUCUGUCAGCCAGGCUCCUACUGGAAUAACACUGUGGUCUGUCAGCCAGGUUCCUGGUGGAAUAACACUGUGGCUGAUUUGACUGCUUUCUUACAGGACAGUAUGUCAUUGUGUCAUCAAACAGUUGGGGUUAUUAUGGGAUAGACAGAUG
RNAcentral lists this long non-coding RNA (764 nucleotides) under Salmo salar (Atlantic salmon). Its description in RNAcentral is "lncRNA (ENSSSAG00000114398.1)". The record is from RNAcentral. Lineage: Eukaryota; Metazoa; Chordata; Actinopteri; Salmoniformes; Salmonidae.